This 253-nucleotide ribosomal RNA is filed under the name uncultured bacterium. Its description in RNAcentral is "partial 16S ribosomal RNA". It matches the Rfam family "Bacterial small subunit ribosomal RNA", at positions 524 to 776 of the family's 1533-position model. The record is from RNAcentral.
GACGUAGGGCGCGAGCGUUGUCCGGAUUUAUUGGGCGUAAAGAGCUCGUAGGCGGCUUGUCGCGUCGAAUGUGAAAACUCGGGGCUCAACUCCGAGCUUGCAUUCGAUACGGGCAGGCUAGAGUUCGGUAGGGGAGACUGGAAUUCCUGGUGUAGCGGUGAAAUGCGCAGAUAUCAGGAGGAACACCGGUGGCGAAGGCGGGUCUCUGGGCCGAUACUGACGCUGAGGCACGAAAGCGUGGGGAGCAAACAGG